This is a small nuclear RNA of Hyaena hyaena (striped hyena), 104 nucleotides long. NCBI's taxonomy places the organism in Eukaryota, Metazoa, Chordata, Mammalia, Carnivora, Hyaenidae. The record is from RefSeq and is a predicted model, not a curated record.
GUGCUCACAGCAAUAGGAUAUAUACUAAAAUUGGAAGGAUGCAGAGAUUAGCAUGGCCCCCGAGCAAGGAUGACAUGCAAAUUCGUGAAGCGCUCCAUUUUUGA